UCGGGAAUAUUGGGCAAUGGAGGAAACUCUGACCCAGCAAUACCGCGUGAAGGACGAAGGUCUUCGGAUUGUAAACUUCUGUUAUAAAGGAAGAAAAAAAUGACGGUACUUUAUAAGUAAGCACCGGCAAACUACGUGCCAGCAGCCGCGGUGAUACGUAGGGUGCGAGCGUUGUCCGGAAUGACUGGGUGUAAAGGGUGUGUAGGUGGCUUAUUAAGUUAAAAGUGAAAGCCCGGGGCUCAACUCCGGAACUGCUUUUAAUACUGGUUGGCUUGAGUGUGGGAGAGGUAAGUGGAACUCCUAGUGUAGCGGUGGAAUGCGUAGAUAUUAGGAAGAACAUCAGAGGCGAAGGCGACUUACUGGAACAUUACUGACACUGAAACACGAAAGCGUGGGGAGCAAACAGG
Molecule: ribosomal RNA, 407 nt
Filed under: uncultured prokaryote
Also listed under: 1 other name
Description: bacterial SSU rRNA
Rfam family: Bacterial small subunit ribosomal RNA
Source: RNAcentral